Long non-coding RNA from Ziziphus jujuba (common jujube), 2376 nucleotides. RefSeq lists it as uncharacterized. The transcript has 3 exons. The record is from RefSeq and is a predicted model, not a curated record. Lineage: Eukaryota; Viridiplantae; Streptophyta; Magnoliopsida; Rosales; Rhamnaceae.
AAUUUGGCCCUUUACCCCUGUUGGAGUCCUCCUAACGAUAUCUACCCACUCGAUUCUAAAUCUUUUUGUUUUGCCCUUUUAUUUUUUAAUAUUCCUAUAGUAUCCUUUUGAGAUAUUAAAAACAAAUUAAACGAAAAGUCCAUUGUUCCCUUCUCUGUUUUUUUCUUUCUUUCACUUCCCUUCGAGUUAUACUCCUUCAAAAUCUUUGCCGGCUCGUCUCUUCUCCUUCCUCACCCUUCCCCCAGAAACACUAGAUUUAGGGUUAGGGUUUGAGUUUUGAAUUUCCGAUUCAAACGUAAUCGACGACGGUGUCUAAGUAUUCAAAUGUGUGAGCAUUAGACGGUGAACUGAAUCGGUCAGAUCCCAAACAAAAUAAAAACAGAGAGAGAGAGAGGAAACGAUGAAGUAAUGGCAAGCAAGGAAGAGAGCGCAGUGAAGGAGACUGCUCUUGCCAAUCUUAUUGUAAGGUUUUUUUGUCAUAGCUUAAAAAAAUGACCCACUGUGUUUUCAAUUUUGUUUUCAGUUAGGUAUUUACGCUAAUCUGAUCAUAUACCAAGAUAAUUCCUUGCAAGCAGUAUGGUCAAACAAUGAAGGUGAUCGAAGACUUAUUAGGGUGGAUAUUGUUAAUUGAGGAUUUCAAUAUUUGACCCUCGUCCUGGAAUGGAUGGCAGUGAUGAGAAUUCAAUUGUAAAGUGGGUAAAGAUGGGUGCAUCACUUCAUAGGUCUUCGAAAGGAUAGGCAAUAGGGUUAAAACCUCCACCUCCAUACCUUAUGGUAAAAUCUGUUUUCAAUAUCUAUUUAUUUUGCUUUUAUCUUGUGCAUACACUUAUUUAUAUGGUGAAAACAAUACAUGACUUUUGUAGCUUGUGCAUGUAUGUUUCAUUCUAAUAGAAAGAGAAGUCUACCUCUUAUUUCCUACAUGUACUUUAUCUUAUUUUCUGUUUCUCUUGAUUAUUUAUUAGCAUGCAUUUCUUCCUCCAUAUUUGAAGUACAAUUUGUUUGUAUGUUAUGUCAUGUGUCCACUGUCUUCUUAGUGUUUACUCGUUGAAAUUUAUCUUUUAAGCAUAUCUUGGUUAUGCAUCCUUUUUUUGGCAUGUUUGGAUAUGAAGGACCUAUUGCUUCUAUGCAUCUAGGAAGGUAUGAGUUGCACCUUCAUUUAUGUCCUCAUUCUGACUGAAUAUUCCGAAAUGUUUAGUUUUACCUUUUCUCAUUUCACUGUCCUAUCGUAGGCAUGCUCUUGUUUCUUCAAAGACAGAAUUCCAAGAAAGUAUAUGCGGAACAUCUUGAGAGAGAAGAUACGUAACAUCUUAAGAGAGAAGCCUUACUCGGCAGUUCUAGCUCUAAACAUACUUGGACGAUAGUUAAGUUGCAUACCAGUUUCGUGAUUUGUCAGAGGGCCAUAUUUUUUAAUGCUUUUAUUUGAUUUCUCUUCCAUCUUUGCAAUAGAACCAUCCAAUGGUUUUCAAUCUCUUGUACUAAUGGACAACUUCAUUUCCAUUUUAGACUGAUGGUGGUAUCAAAAAUCCCUUAGAAGAUGAAAUUAGGGACACACCCCACGGAGAACUACUCUAUUUCUAUUAUUUUAUACUUUUGGCAUGGUCAAAUGGAGAAAUUAUGCGUCAAUUAUAAGAAUUUACUCGUGCCAGCUGUGAAUUUGACAAAAUGAUAGCUGUUGAAUUUUUAUUUUUUUUCAAGUGGGAUUCCUUCUAGUAAUUUUCACGUUGUACCUGACCAGAAGAAUAUACGUGCUUGCUUUUAUGUGAUUAUGAUCAAUUAUUUGAACAUGCUACCUGAUAUAAUUUUUUUUGGUGGUAGAUGGGUGGAUAAAAUCCUUGAGGCAUUAAGAGGAUAUGACCACUAGAGGAUUGGCUGUUAAUUGUUUAGGUGAAAAAAGCAGUUGCUUGUUUUUAUUCCUUAAAUUUAAAAUGAGCCCUCCUCGGUUUCCUCCAGAUGCAGGUAUCUGAGAUGAUGUGAGAGGUGUAGAAUAAGGCAGCAACACAAACAUGGAAAAGUUUGAAGUUUCUAUUUAACGUGAUUGCAUGCCAGCAGCAAUACAAUAUGUUGGAAUGUUUAACAUCCUGAACAGCUCAUAUCUGGUAGCUAGAUCAUUCUUUUGAAGUUAGUGAAGAGCAAUAAUUUUAUGGAAAGCCAGCUUUCCUACUUGUAUAUGUUUAUAAUUUUCCAAAGAUGAAGUUUUGAUAAUGACCCUACAUCUUUUUUACUGUGCCUUAACGAUGAGUUGUUACCACUCUUAGUAAAAUAAUGAACACUAGUGUAGUUAUGAUUCAUGUCCAAGUAGUAUUUAUUCCUUUUCAAUGAUGUUAUUGUAUAAUAUUUCUGUACAUUAUAAGCAAAUAAUGGAAGCUCACUUUAAUA